Molecule: long non-coding RNA, 6038 nt
Filed under: Vigna radiata
Lineage: Eukaryota; Viridiplantae; Streptophyta; Magnoliopsida; Fabales; Fabaceae
Description: long non-coding RNA (VRAD_LNC012470)
Source: RNAcentral
GGGUGGUUAAAACUAAAAGACACUAGAGGUUAUUUGUCAUACUGAUGGGCCUAAGGUUACACAAGUCUACAGAAGAAGGAAAAGUAGAGUUGAGGGCAAAGUGGGAAAUGUGGAAGAGACACAUGGGUGUAACUAACNGGACACGUGUCUUGCUGAGAGGGGAGGGGAGUAUAUUGGUGGGGAUUUGGAGGUGUGAGNGGGGGGGCAAUCAUUGGGUGGAUAGUGACGUUAGUUACAGGGCAGAGAGGAAUAUCCUUCUCUGAUUUUCUUCUUUUGCAGGGGUUUCCCUUUUUGGGUGCAAUCUUGUACUGAUGAGUAUACCAGUACAGUGACUAUAGAUAGAUUGCACUUCCAUAUUUCUUGUUCUUCUACUUUUCACUCUCUUAAUUCCUCUUAUUUUCUUAUUUUAUCUGGUAUCUAACAAGUUGGUAUUAGAGCUCCCGGUCCUGGGAGCUUCUGAAUGGUCUCAACCAGAAUGGAGAAUCGGAUUGAGAUGGUGGAGAAGAGGAUCGAAGAGUUGGGGGUGUCAUUUCAAACACAGCUCAGGGAAGCAAUACGGUUGCAAACUGAAGAAAUGAUGAAGAUGAUGGCAGACCGUUUGGAAGAGACAAUAGGGGAGAUGCGGGGGUGGAGGAGAGAGGUAGAGGGAGACACCGUUCACCGGAGGGAUAGUUACAGGGAGGAAGAAUCAAGGAGGGAAGCGCGUGUCAAGCGCGUGGAGGUUCCCUUCUUCUCAGGAGACGAUCCUCACGGUUGGGUAUACAGGGUCGAACGUUAUUUUGAGGUUAANCGUGUACCCGAGGCUGAGAAGGUUGACACCGCNGUGGUUUGCCUUGAGGGGAAGGCUCUAAACUGGUACCAGUGGUGGGAGUCCAGAAUGGUGGUUGNAGUGACGUGGCAGAUGUUUCGGCAGGCUCUCAUGGGGCGGUUUCAGGUGGCUUCAUCUGAAAACCCGUAUGAGGUGUUGAUGGGGUUGAGGCAGAGAGGAUCGGUGUUGGAGUACCGGGAACAAUUUGAGUUGCGAUCUGCUCCUCUUCGUUUUGCUGAUGAGGAAUUCAUGAAGGGAGUGUUUAUGAACGGGUUGAAGGAAGACAUCAAGGCGGAGGUCAGGUUGAUGGGUUCUGGUGAUCUCCAUGUGUUAAUGGAGGUGGCUCAAAAGGUGGAAGAAAGGAACCAGGUUUUGGGACGCAGCAUGGGCUUUGCGGGUCGGGGAAGUGGACCGGGUAUGACCCGAUCCGCAUUACCUAAUAGAUGGGCUGGCCCAAGUGAAACUAAAGAGUGGGUGGUUGGGCCCAAUUUCUCACAAGGGGGAUCAAUACAUCAGAAGCAGUUAGGAGGGAAAGGUGAGAACGCUCAUUCCAAAUCCCCAACGUUUUCUCGUGAAGGAAGCACAUCCAGUUCUAACCGUCGUGGCAUGGGAUACAAAAGGCUGACGGAAGAGGAGGAGAAUGAGAAAAGACGAAGGGGGCUCUGUUUUCGUUGUGAUGAACGCUAUAGCCCUGNACACGUGUGUCGUAACAAGCAACUUCAUGUGAUUUUGCUGGGCCAGGAAGAAGGAGUCGAGGAGGAUGAGGUUCCAUCUGAGAAAGAAGAGGGAGACGAAGUCAAUUUGCAGUUGAAUGUGAGCAGCAUUGCGGGUAUGACUUCAAAAAAUUCUUUGAAGCUUUGGGGCACUAUCAAGGGGAACAAGGUGAUUGUCAUGGUUGAUUCAGGCGCAUCACAUAAUUUUCUGUCUCCCAGAGUUGUUGGCGAAUUGGGUAUACANAUAGAAGAGACCAGAGGGUAUUUUGUGGAAGUUGGCAAUGGACANNGGUUGGGAAGCCAAGGUGUUUGUAGAAAUGUCGAGUUACAGCUUCCUACACUAAUGGUGAAACAAGACUUCUACCUAUUUGAGUUAGUAGGUGUUGAUGUAAUUNUGGGCUAUGAAUGGUUGAAGAGCUUGGGCAAAUUCAGUGCAGAUUUGGGUAAACACNUGUUGGAAAUUCAGGGGGAUGGGACGAUCAUUGAGGUUCGUGGAGAUCCGGUUCUGUCCAGAACAGUGGCGUCCUUGAAGGCAGUAAUGAAGGAACUGAGAAAUGAGGGUGAGGCGUACUAUGUUGAGUUGGGGAUGAUGAGCAUGUGGGUUCCUUCCAAUUGGGACACGCCUAUUAGUGUACAGCAACUGGUGGAAGAGUAUGCUGAUCUCUUUCAGGAACAGAGAGGGCUUCCCCCGCGNAGAAGUUGUGAUCAUGCUAUAGUGUUGAAGGAAGGGGCANCAAUUCCUAACNUUCGACCCUACCGGCAUCCACACNGUCACAAGGAGGAAAUUGAGAAGUUUGUGAAGGAUAUGUUGGAAGCAGGUAUGAUUAGGCCUAGUGUUAGUCCUUUUUCUAGUCCUUUAAUUCUUGUGAAGAAAAAAGAUGGAAGUUGGAGGUUUUGCGUGGACUACCGAGCUCUCAACAGUGUCACGAUUCCAAACAAAUUUCCCAUUCCCGUGAUAGAGGAGUUGUUGGAUGAACUUGGAGGAGCUACGGUGUUUUCUAAGCUGGACUUAAAAUCCGGGUACCAUCAAGUACGAAUGAAGGAGGCGGACAUACCCAAAACAGCGUUCCGUACUCAUGAGGGACACUAAGAAUACUUAGUGAUGCCGUUCGGCCUCACCAACGCCCCGUCGACAUUCCAAGCUUUGAUGAAUGAUGUGUUUCGACCAUUUAUGAGGAAGUUUGUAUUGGUCUUUUUCGACGACAUCCGCAUAUAUAGUCAAGACAUGGGCACUCAUACUAGCCACUUACAGCAGGUGUUUCAGAAAAUGCGUGAGCAUGAGCUUUGGGUAAAUCGCAAAAAGUGCAACUUCGGGGUAAAGUAGCUGGAGUAUUUGGGUCAUUUGAUUUCAGGAGAGGGCAUCAAGGCUGACCCAAGCAAAAUCGAGGCUAUGGUUGCAUGGCCUGAACCCAAGGAUAUUCAGAGCUUGAGGGGAUUUCUUGGACUCACUGGGUAUUAUCGCAGAUUUGUGAGGAAUUAUGGGAUGAUUGCCAAACCGUUGACUCAAUUGUUGAAGAAGAAUGGGUUCUUGUGGUCGGUGGAAGCUAAAUCUGCUUUCAAUGAACUCAAAUCAGCGAUGACAAGCCUGCCCACGUUGGCCAUGCCCAAUUUUGAUUUGCCCUUCGUCAUCGAAACUGAUGCGUCGGGCUGUGGAUUAGGGGCGGUUUUGAUGCAGCAGGGAAGACCACUGGCUUUUAUUAGUCAAGCUUUAUCCGAGAAAGCCAAGGCCCGUUCUGUUUAUGAGAGGGAGUUGAUGGCUAUUGUGCUUGCUGUACAAAAGUGACGUCAGUACCUCUUGGGACACCAUUUUAUCAUUCGCACGGAUCAAAAAAGUUUGAGGUUUCUCUUAGAGCAAAGGGUGCUGGCUGGUGAUCAAUUGAAAUGGGUCACGAAAUUGAUGGGGUAUGACUUUGAGAUCCAGUACAAACCGGGGGCGGAUAAUCGCGUCGCGGAUGCACUCUCCAGGGUGAUGACAUACAGUUCCAUCUCAGUGAUUACGAAUUCAGAUUUGAUUGAGUUAGCGGAAGAAUUGGUGAGGGAUGAGAAAUUAAGGGGGCUGAUGCAAGAAGUCAUUCGUGAUCCGAAAACGCAUCCAACAUAUGCAGUGGCACAGGGCUGUUUAUGGCACAAAGGGCGAUUGGUACUUCCUCAAAAUUCGAGACGGAUUCCAUUAUUGUUGGAGGAAUUCCAUGCUUCUCCAUGGGGGGGUCAUUCGGGAGUUANUAGAACUUACAAACGGCUGGCCAUGGUUUUCUUUUGGAAAGGGAUGCGAAAGGAUAUUGAAAGGUUUGUGUUAGACUGUGNUGUUUGUCAACGACACAAAUAUUAGGCCCUUAAACCAGCAGGAUUGCUUCAGCCCUUGCCUAUUCCGAAUAAGGUAUGGGAGGAUUUGUCGAUGGAUUUUAUUGGUGGCUUACCGAAGGCGAAAGGUGCUGACACGAUUAUGGUGGUAGUGGAUCGCUUAAGUAAAUCCGCUCAUUUCAUGCCNUUACAACAUCCUUAUUCCGCAACUGAUGUGGCUCNAGUAUUUGUGAAGGAGGUAGUUAGGCUACAUGGGUUUCCUCGGUCAAUGGUGUCCGAUCGAGACAGGGUGUUUAUAAGUUUGUUUUGGAAGGAGCUGUUUCGUUUGGNAGGAACUAAGCUGCAUUUUAGCUCUGCCUAUCAUCCCCAAACGGAUGGGCAAACCGAAGUCGUUAAUAGAACGGUUGAGACGUAUCUGCGAUGCUUUGUGAGUGGCCAUCCGAAACAAUGGGUUCAGUGGUUGUCGUGGGCANAGUUAUGGUUUAAUUGCUCCUAUAAUGCCUCUAUCAAAAUGAGCCCCUUUAAGGCGCUGUAUGGCUGUGAUCCUCCGACUAUAGUGUCGUUCCGUCAAGAGACCACAGUUGUGGCUGNUGUGGAUCAGUUAUUAGCAAGUCGUGAUACUAUUUUGCUAGAGCUUAAGCAGAAUUUGGUGAAGGCACAGCUGAGGAUGCGGGAACAGGUGGAUAAACAUAGGAGGGAAGUGGAAUUUGAAGUCGGUGACAUGGUGUAUUUGAAGUUUCAGCCAUAUAAGUUCCGUUCAUUGGCAAGAAAAGAAAAUGAGAAGUUGAGCCCUCGUUUUUAUGGACCGUUUGAGAUAGAGGAGAGAAUUGGGGCGGUGGCGUAUAAACUCAAACUCCCGGAAUAUUCGCGUGUGCACCCGGUUUUCCAUGUGUCCCAAUUAAAAAGGGCACCUCCAACUAGUAUUCCAGGCCAGCAACUUUCGGCAGGGCUUACGGAGGAAUGGGAGUUACAGGUGGUGCCGGAAUCAGUGCUCGCUAUGCGACAGCUCAUAAAUGGGAAGAUAGAAGUNUUGAUCAAAUGGGUGCACCUUCCACAACAUGACAGCACUUGGGAAGAGUUUGAAUUAGUGAAGCAGGCCUUCCCAGACUUCCACCUUGAGGACAAGGUAUUGCUGGUUGGGGAGGGAAUUGAUGGGCCUAAGGUUACACAAGUCUACAGAAGAAGGAAAAGUAGAGNUGAGGGCAAAGUGGGAAAUGUGGAAGAGNCACAUGGGUGUAACUAACNGGACACGUGUCUUGCUGAGAGGGGAGGGGAGUAUAUUGGUGGGGAUUUGGAGGUGUGAGGGGGGCAAUCAUUGGGUGGAUAGUGACGUUAGUUACAGGGCAGAGAGGAAUAUCCUUCUCUGAUUUUCUUCUUUUGCAGGGGUUUCCCUUUUUGGGUGCAAUCUUGUACUGAUGAGUAUACCAGAGACACAUGGGUGUAACUAACUGGACACGUGUCUUGCUGAGAGGGGAGGGGAGUAUAUUGGUGGGGAUUUGGAGGUGUGAGGGGGGCAAUCAUUGGGUGGAUAGUGACGUUAGUUACAGGGCAGAGAGGAAUAUCCUUCUCUGAUUUUCUUCUUUUGCAGGGGUUUCCCUUUUUGGGUGCAAUCUUGUACUGAUGAGUAUACCAGUACAGUGACUAUAGAUAGAUUGCACUUCCAUAUUUNUUGUUCUUCUACUUUUCACUCUCUUAAUUCCUCUUAUUUUCUUAUUUUAUCUGGUAUCUAACACAUACAAAGUACCAAUAACGCAUAGAAGAAAAUUUUUAUAAUAUUGCUGUUCAACCAACUGUGUGAAUGUUGGACUUCAACAGGACAAGAGAAAAAAGUGAGCACAAUAAACGAGAAUGAUAAGAUGAAUGUUAUAUAAGAACAAGAUGGUAUGGAAUAAUUCUACACAAGAAAAUUUUGGUGCAAGACCUUUCGGGAAGACAACAUAAAAACUAUUAAGAUGAUUUCAAUAUGAGCAAAAAAGAAAACUAGAGGCAACGACGAAGGUGAGUAAAUCACAUAAAUUUUAUUCAUGUAAAGAGGAAAACAAGCAGGACAUUGACAGAAAUUAUUGAAAAGGAUCUUAUGGUGAGAAUAACAUCCUUGAACCCAAUGGUGACAUGUAAUCCCUGCAGUCAACCUGGACUAUUGAAAUAAGGCUAUUGUUGUCAUCAAUGUUAUUGUAUAGGAGUAAAUUAGAAAAAAUUUAGAAAAUUAAGAUAAA